AUGGGUGGUAAUGCCGGAUGGGCCGGGCUCCUGCAUGGGGGUCCGGGAAAGCUCUGGCGGCGUGGGAUGGGGUCGCGUCCUAUCAGCUUGUUGGCGGGGUGAGGGCCCACCAAGGCUUCGACGGGUAGCCGGCCUGAGAGGGCGACCGGCCACAUUGGGACUGAGAUACGGCCCAGACUCCUACGGGAGGCAGCAGUGGGGAAUAUUGCACAAUGGGCGCAAGCCUGAUGCAGCGACGCCGCGUGCGGGAUGGAGGCCUUCGGGUUGUAAACCGCUUUUGUUUGGGAGCAAGCCCUUCGGGGUGAGUGUACCUUUCGAAUAAGCACCGGCUAACUACGUGCCAGCAGCCGCGGUAAUACGUAGGGUGCGAGCGUUAUCCGGAUUUAUUGGGCGUAAAGGGCUCGUAGGCGGUUCGUCGCGUCCGGUGUGAAAGUCCAUCGCCUAACGGUGGAUCUGCGCCGGGUACGGGCGGGCUGGAGUGCGGUAGGGGAGACUGGAAUUCCCGGUGUA
This 510-nucleotide ribosomal RNA is filed under the name uncultured Bifidobacterium sp. Its description in RNAcentral is "bacterial SSU rRNA". It matches the Rfam family "Bacterial small subunit ribosomal RNA", at positions 156 to 677 of the family's 1533-position model. Lineage: Bacteria; Bacillati; Actinomycetota; Actinomycetes; Bifidobacteriales; Bifidobacteriaceae. The record is from RNAcentral.